GAGUUUGAUCAUGGCUCAGGAUGAACGCUAGCUACAGGCUUAACACAUGCAAGUCGAGGGGCAGCAUGAAUAUUGGCUUGCCAAUAUUUGAUGGCGACCGGCGCACGGGUGAGUAACACGUAUCCAACCUUCCGGUACUCGGGGAUAGGCUUUCGAAAGAAAGAUUAAUACCCGAUGUUGUGUAUCUUUCUCCUGAUUGAUACGCCAAAGGAUUCCGGUAACCGAUGGGGAUGCGUUCCAUUAGGCAGUUGGCGGGGUAACGGCCCACCAAACCUUCGAUGGAUAGGGGUUCUGAGAGGAAGGUCCCCCACAUUGGAACUGAGACACGGUCCAAACUCCUACGGGAGGCAGCAGUGAGGAAUAUUGGUCAAUGGACGGAAGUCUGAACCAGCCAAGUAGCGUGAAGGAUGACUGCCCUCUGGGUUGUAAACUUCUUUUAUACGGGAAUAACAUGUGGUACGGGUACCUUAU
RNAcentral lists this ribosomal RNA (471 nucleotides) under Bacteroides pyogenes. Its description in RNAcentral is "bacterial SSU rRNA". It matches the Rfam family "Bacterial small subunit ribosomal RNA", at positions 9 to 483 of the family's 1533-position model. The record is from RNAcentral. Lineage: Bacteria; Pseudomonadati; Bacteroidota; Bacteroidia; Bacteroidales; Bacteroidaceae.